Non-coding RNA from Theobroma umbraticum, 1023 nucleotides. The record is from RefSeq and is a predicted model, not a curated record. NCBI's taxonomy places the organism in Eukaryota, Viridiplantae, Streptophyta, Magnoliopsida, Malvales, Malvaceae.
AUUUUCAAAAUCUUUAGUAGUUUGUUUGCUCCAUCAUGAACAUGGAUUAAAAUUCCUCCUUAUCUGCCCAAAAGAAAAGAGGAGCUUCAUGCUUAAAGACAAGGAGAGAAAUGCAGCGGAACAUGUCAUGUACAUUGCACGUGUUUUGGUUAUAAGACAGACAGGCACUUUGAACACUUAAAACACACAACAUGAAUCCACGAUGCAAGCCAACAAACCUCCCCCUCCCCCUGCCCCUCCCAGGUAGCUCUUUCGAAGAAAGACUGCGGUAUUUCUAGGAACAUGGGUAUGGUGGUGGCAUAAUAAAAACAAAAGCUAUUCGGCAGAACGUUUUGGUCUUUCUUCAUGUGCCACUUUGUGUGGGUCAAAUUGUUGUGGAAAAGGGGUCCUAAUUAGACAGCCGAUCACUACCAUGAAAGGAAAUCAUUAGCUACUAUCCAUGCUUAUAAAACAAGAAUCCAUAUUUUUCCUAAUCGAUGUGAGACUUAUGGUCCAGAAAUAUCAGAGCAAGAACAGAAUGUUCUUGCAACCUAACAUAAGAACAAAGCAUCGACAGCUCCAGAGAAUCUGUGCAAUCUCAGUAUGCGUAUUCCCCAGGCUUGAAAUGAUAUGAUGGUCUCUGCUCCAUAUCAGAAAGAGCUGAGAUGGUUAGAACCUAUCCAUGAAUUGAACAUUCAGAAAUUCCUGUAACUCUCUGAACUGCUCGAAUUCCUCAUCGUCAUAGGUGAGAUAGAAAGGGCAAACAGAGGAGAUUGCAAGAAUCACAGGUCCACAAUCUUCAGUUUGCCAGAACAAGGCAUUGCCGUUUUCACAAGUUCUUAUUCAUUCUUGGGCAUAAAUCGUGAACAGUUCAUAGAAAUGAUCAAUCUGUAUGGUGAGCUACAAGGCAGUUCAAAACAAUAUAUACAAAAAUGAAUAGGCAAAGUUGAAAAGAAUGUUAUUGGAAAAUUGUUUCUAUAAAGAAUAUCCAGAUGUACAACUGUAAAGGUUAAUGAAUGUCAAAUAUAUAAACAAGUUUACAAA